Molecule: ribosomal RNA, 696 nt
Filed under: Pseudomonas sp.
Lineage: Bacteria; Pseudomonadati; Pseudomonadota; Gammaproteobacteria; Pseudomonadales; Pseudomonadaceae
Description: bacterial SSU rRNA
Rfam family: Bacterial small subunit ribosomal RNA
Source: RNAcentral
AGUCGAGCGGCAGCACGGGUACUUGUACCUGGUGGCGAGCGGCGGACGGGUGAGUAAUGCCUAGGAAUCUGCCUGGUAGUGGGGGAUAACGCUCGGAAACGGACGCUAAUACCGCAUACGUCCUACGGGAGAAAGCAGGGGACCUUCGGGCCUUGCGCUAUCAGAUGAGCCUAGGUCGGAUUAGCUAGUUGGUGAGGUAAUGGCUCACCAAGGCGACAAUCCGUAACUGGUCUGAGAGGAUGAUCAGUCACACUGGAACUGAGACACGGUCCAGACUCCUACGGGAGGCAGCAGUGGGGAAUAUUGGACAAUGGGCGAAAGCCUGAUCCAGCCAUGCCGCGUGUGUGAAGAAGGUCUUCGGAUUGUAAAGCACUUUAAGUUGGGAGGAAGGGCAGUUACCUAAUACGUGAUUGUUUUGACGUUACCGACAGAAUAAGCACCGGCUAACUCUGUGCCAGCAGCCGCGGUAAUACAGAGGGUGCAAGCGUUAAUCGGAAUUACUGGGCGUAAAGCGCGCGUAGGUGGUUUGUUAAGUUGAAUGUGAAAUCCCCGGGCUCAACCUGGGAACUGCAUCCAAAACUGGCAAGCUAGAGUAUGGUAGAGGGUGGUGGAAUUUCCUGUGUAGCGGUGAAAUGCGUAGAUAUAGGAAGGAACACCAGUGGCGAAGGCGACCACCUGGACUGAUACUGACACUGA